Molecule: long non-coding RNA, 1605 nt
Organism: Pteropus alecto (black flying fox)
Lineage: Eukaryota; Metazoa; Chordata; Mammalia; Chiroptera; Pteropodidae
Exons: 3
Source: RefSeq, a predicted model, not a curated record
CAUAACCAUCCUCAAUCAUUAGGGCAAGUGGAAUGAGAAAAUCUGGACAUAAAAAGAUCUCUCAAGAAACUGGAUUUAAAUGGCCAGAAGCUUUGUCUUCAGCCUUGAUAAAGAUCCAGAAUACUGCAAAUAGAAGAUAUGAGUUAAUCCAUUUUGAAAUAGUAUUUAGAUACCCAAUGCCUACUGGCAUCUUUAAACUCAUGGGUUAAGUGAACGCUAUGGAAACUUAAGUGAACAAUUUAUUACUACGACUAGCUUAUAUGCAAGAACUAGUGUGCUUGAAGUGUAUACCAAAGGUAAAAGACGCAUGGCCCCCGCUGACUGACAAGCUUGCCAUCCCUUUUGACCAGGAAACUGGGCGUAUGUCAAGGUCUUUAGCAGAAAACAUGCACUGUCAUCUCGAUGGAAAGGGCCUUAGGAGGUACUGCUAACGACCUACACUGCCAUCAUAAUAAAAGAAAAAUCCUCCUGAGUCCACGCCCAGAUCUUCAUUCUCAAGAUAACUGGGAGGCAAUCACUACAGGUGACCUUAAACUGAGGAUUUCCAGGGUUGAUUCCCAGAUCCUCAGUGAUGCAGGACAGGGCAAGUUCCCCCGAGUUGGUGGGGAGACCAGUCCCUGCACUGAGAGAAGAAGAGGGUCCUUUGGCGGAGAGUGUAGAAAUUCCACACACACGACUAAGUAAGAGUCAAAAGGAAAGUUUAUUAGAAAAGGGAUAGCACUCCACAGACAGAGCGUGGUUUCCUCUCAGAGGCAGAGAGUGAGAGGGACAGCAAGAGGAACAAUAGAAAGAGGUGUAGGAAAUGGGUUGUUAGCCAUCCCAGCAGAAAUCUUCCUUUGUUCUGAAGGUGUCCUCCUGGCCUGGCUGCAGGGCCGAUCAGCAUAUGGCAGUCUCUGAUUGUGGCUUGAAUAACAUUUUAAUUCUCUUGCCCCAUCCCUACAUUAUCAGAAGCAGACAGUGCCAUGAUGUACACAUCUUUUCCAAAGAUCACAGGUAAGAAACUUUGCUUUUACCUACCUCUUCACCCCCAACGAGCCCCUGCUUUUAAGACUCUCUAAAGACACAUAUCCACACACACACCUCCUCUUAUUAAUGAACAUUUCUGCCCCCCCAAAAAAAUUUUAUUAAUUUUUUUUUUUUUUUUGAUAACUUACUGGAGAGUGGUUGCCCCUAUCUACUUUCUCUAAGUUUCCACCAUGGAUUCUAUUUUAAACUGUGUCUCUCUCUUACUCUCUUUUUCAACCGGUCAGGUACAGACACAAUAGCCCCUUAUGUCAGUUUACCAAGCCCUGGCUACAUUAACUAAUCGAUCUGACUGUCGGUUAUGUCAGCAUCUAGAUAAUGCAAAAGAGCCUGAAAAAGUCUUUGUUCCAGUCAAUUUGAACACCUAGUAGACUGAAUAUGAAAGAUGGAUGUGCAACAGGGUAUGGUAUCCAUAAGACAAUCGUCACUCUGCUUCUUCUGAUGAGUCGUUUGAAGCUCAAAGACUGUCCUUUGCCCAGAUUGACAGCACGUAUGGAAAACGGAGGUGUAUAAAUGAUGACAGUAUCAUUGACAAAAGCAAGAGAAUACUCUGGAACCUGGGAAUUACAGAUUCCACUUUAA